GGUCCUGUAGCUCAGUUGGUUAGAGCGUGGCUAUUAUGAGUUGAAGGUCGCGGGUUCGAAUCUCGUCGGGACCA
RNAcentral lists this transfer RNA (74 nucleotides) under Jatropha curcas. It matches the Rfam family "tRNA". From Rfam's summary of the family: Transfer RNA (tRNA) molecules are approximately 80 nucleotides in length. Their secondary structure includes four short double-helical elements and three loops (D, anti-codon, and T loops). Lineage: Eukaryota; Viridiplantae; Streptophyta; Magnoliopsida; Malpighiales; Euphorbiaceae. The record is from Rfam by way of RNAcentral.